UGGGGAAUCAUGGUCAAUGGGCGAAAGCCUGAACCUGCGACGCCGCGUGAGUGAUGAAGGUCUUCGGAUUGUAAACUCCUGUCAUGAGGGAUAAAUGGCCAGGGCACGAAUAGUGCCUUGGAAUGAUAGUACCUCAGGAGGAAGAGACGGCUAACUCUGUGCCAGCAGCCGCGGUAAUACAGAGGUCUCGAGCGUUGUUCGGAUUUACUGGGCGUAAAGGGAGCGUAGGCGGUUCGGUGUGUUGAAUGUGAAAUCCCACAACUCAACUGUGGAAUGGCAUUCAAAACUACUGGGCUAGAGUACUGGAGAGGAGAGCGGAAUUCUUGGUGUAGCGGUGAAAUGCGUAGAGAUUAGGAAGAACACCGGUGGCGAAGGCGGCUUACUGGACGAGUACUGACGCUCAGGUACGAAAGCGUGGGGAGCAAACA
Molecule: ribosomal RNA, 428 nt
Filed under: uncultured prokaryote
Description: bacterial SSU rRNA
Rfam family: Bacterial small subunit ribosomal RNA
Source: RNAcentral